This 194-nucleotide ribosomal RNA is filed under the name uncultured eukaryote. RNAcentral describes it as "partial 18S ribosomal RNA". It matches the Rfam family "Eukaryotic small subunit ribosomal RNA", at positions 1 to 172 of the family's 1831-position model. The record is from RNAcentral.
UCAACCUGGUUGAUCCUGCCAGUAGUCAUAUGUUUGUCUCAAAGAUUUAGCCAUGCAUGUUAUAGAAUAAGCUCUUGAAAGGCGAAUCUGCGAAUGGCUCAUUAAAACAGUUAUAAUCUACAUGAUAAUUGAGGGUAAGAUUUUUAAACAUCUUGUUCUUUAGGAUAACCGUGGUAAUUCUAGUGCUAAUACUG